UACGUAGGGGGCAAGCGUUAUCCGGAAUUAUUGGGCGUAAAGAGCUCGUAGGCGGUUUGUCGCGUCUGCCGUGAAAGUCCGGGGCUCAACUCCGGAUCUGCGGUGGGUACGGGCAGACUAGAGUGAUGUAGGGGGAGACUGGAAUUCCUGGUGUAGCGGUGAAAUGCGCAGAUAUCAGGAGGAACACCGAUGGCGAAGGCAGGUCUCUGGGCAUUAACUGACGCUGAGGAGCGAAAGCAUGGGGAGCGAACAGG
RNAcentral lists this ribosomal RNA (254 nucleotides) under uncultured bacterium. RNAcentral's name for it is "partial 16S ribosomal RNA". It matches the Rfam family "Bacterial small subunit ribosomal RNA", at positions 524 to 776 of the family's 1533-position model. The record is from RNAcentral.